Molecule: long non-coding RNA, 2021 nt
Organism: Dryobates pubescens (Downy woodpecker)
Lineage: Eukaryota; Metazoa; Chordata; Aves; Piciformes; Picidae
Exons: 3
Source: RefSeq, a predicted model, not a curated record
CAAUUCAGUAUUCAUGGACUAAGGGACCCAGCCAUGCCUCUCCCCCAGUGCAGGUAAGGAUCCAACCCUGAAGGCUACAGAAUCAACUCUUUACCACUUCUUAUUCCCUGUGACUUAAUGAAUAUUUAUAUCUUUAUUGCAGCAUGGAAUAGCUCAGCUCCCCUGAGCACAGCAAGCGAGGGAAUGUUUGAUUUGAGAGCCCGAGAUAGGGAGCAGUUGUAGCUGAAAUUCAGGUGCCCUGGGGAUUUCUGUGGAGGAGGGGAGAGCCUGGAUAUCUAUGUAAUUUAGGUACCAAGGAGGUCUUGAGGAUAGCUGAAGUUAGCACACAGAGCUGCAGUUAGAUACCACCAACACCCCAGUGAAUGUAGUUCCAGAGGCUCCAGGACAAUAUGCAAUCCAUAUUCACAGAUUUUAAUUAUUCAGAAAAGGUUUUUACCUUCCCUGAAAAUUAAGCACAAAGGGCCUAAUUCUAAAUGCUGCGCUGAUACAACUCUUGAUAAGUACCAGUGAAGCUGAUCAGCAAAACAGUUUCACAUCAUCUUCUUUGAGAAUGGAUUUUGUUUCUUACCUAACCAAAUAUGUGGUGUCUUCUGACUCCCAAUCUAAUGUGAAUGCAACAAACUAGACCCAAAUGCCUUAAUUAGAGCAUGCUACCUUUGCACAUACCACAAAGCAAUCUGGGAUGGGAGAAAGAGGACCUAAGAAGUGAUGCUAGCAGUGGUAGGAGAAAAUAGGCUGCUUUCUUUCUGUGUUUGAGCCUAAUUAUUGUACUAGGAGUCUGUCAUCACUGAUAUAUUGGAGCUUUAGGGCUCUGUGCUGAAAGCAGGAUAAGUGCCAGUAGCAAAGGAACAGGGUACUCAGUCCCAGAACAACAAAAACAUCUUCAUGAAGGCAGUGACCUGCAGGACUCUAAUUAGCUCUGGUAGCAGCAGGACCCAGCUGUGAUGCUGAACACAGAUCUGAAGCUUGAGAAGACUCUGGCCAGCCACAAGCAGGCUCCAUAACUGUGCCAGAAGAGAAGGGAACAGAGGAAACUUCUGCCAUGGUGACAUGAAAGAGUACUCAAAAGGUGUCUUGAGCUCUUGUGCCAGCUGGCUGAGUGGCUGCAGAGCCUAGGUACAGAGACUAAUUUCUGGGAAAUGUAAAGACAUCUAUGUUUAAUAUUAGAGCUGAUGACUCAUUUUCUCUAUUUGCUAUCCCAACUGUGCACCCAAACAGAGGCUCCAAUCUUCUUUGCUCUGACCUUCAAUCAGCUGUUGGAAAGUCCCAUCAUUAGCAUGAAACUGGGGGAGUCUGUUUCAGAAAUUUCACUAAGUGGGGUGAAGAAGCUUCUGAGCUGCAUUUGACCAUCUUUCCUUGAAUACCAAAGACAAGAUCAACCAAGUUGUGCACUGAGGUGUCAUUCAAGCUAGGACAGUUCUGAAGGCAGUUGUCAGAAUCCUCCUGCUGCUUGAAGGGCUGUGUAUCAACGCUGGCCCAGGAGCCAGCUGUACACUAGGUUAAACCACCAGCAAUUUUCACCUUGGGAAAGCUGAUGAAUUGACUGGCAUUAGAGACCAUCUACGCCAAGGAGCCAGAAGGUAUAGCUCACAAGGGAAAUCGUCCACAUACCCAGGAGAAGGUUUGGAGACAGCAUCAUCCCAUUUUUUGCAAUGUCCUGUGUGAGGCUGUUAUAUCCAAAUCUUCAGUGGUGCUAACAGGAUGCUUUGCAUAGACAGAGCUCUGUCAGAUCUUCAGCCAAGUUGAGACUGGAUUUGCUGUCUGUGAAAAUCCCAGGAUGAUGAGUCAAGACUAGAAACAUAGAAAGAUGUUCUGCCAAGCAAGCCCAGCCUAUUAGAGUGGGAAUCUCUUCAGGGUUUUUUUAACAUUACCUUCAGCUAAAUAAAUAAUUUGUCUCCUUCCAUCCUAAACUUUAACCUGUCUCAUGCAGUUAAGCUUCAGUCUUUUGAGCAGACCUGUGUGGUGGGUUUGUGCAUGGCACAGAGGCUGCUAAUCCUAGCUGAGGACAUUAUGGCUGUCCU